GGGGGCGAAAUAGGAUCGACAAGGGCGUAAAGAUCGAACUUUUGCUCGGCAUGAUACCGCCGUUAUCGGGUCACAAGUGUAGUUGCAAAUGACAACAACGCUAAGGAAUACGCUCUCGCUGCCUAAUGGCGGUGCGGGAAUUCCGCUCUAAAGUCCUCACGGUUAGCCCCGUGAGGCGGGGUUCGGAGGUACCUGGCAACAGAAACCUCCACC
RNAcentral lists this transfer-messenger RNA (213 nucleotides) under Agrobacterium tumefaciens. RNAcentral describes it as "transfer-messenger RNA Agrob_sp_H133". It matches the Rfam family "Alphaproteobacteria transfer-messenger RNA", at positions 148 to 355 of the family's 355-position model. From Rfam's summary of the family: Bacterial tmRNA, also known as 10Sa RNA or SsrA, is named for its dual tRNA and mRNA-like properties. RNAcentral also lists the same sequence under 1 other name. The record is from RNAcentral. Lineage: Bacteria; Pseudomonadati; Pseudomonadota; Alphaproteobacteria; Hyphomicrobiales; Rhizobiaceae.